UUUGAUAAGUGCAAUUAUCUUCAAAUUUUGUAUGCUUAUUGCUAACUUAAUUUUUUAAAGGUGUAUAAAUUUUUAAGUAAGUUCAAUAAUUUAAUUGAUAGGUAUUGAGGUUCUAAACUACACUAUGAUUAAAUUGAAUAGAAUUAAGAUUUGGUUUAAGGUCUAAGGUUUGAUUUAGGGUUUGAUUUAGGAUCUAGGAUUUGAUCUAAGAUUUGUUUUAGGAUCUAAGGUUUAUUUAAGAUUUGAUUUAGGAUUUGAUUUAGGAUUUGAUUUAGGAUUUGAUUUAGGAUUUGAUUUAGGAUCUAAGAUUUAAUCUAGGAUUUGAUUUAGGAUUUAGGAUUUGUCUAGGAUUUGAUUUAGGGUUUAUCUAGGAUUUGAUUUAGAGUUUGAUUAAGGGUUUAGGAUUUAUCUAGGAUUUGAUUUAGGAUUUGAUUUAGGAUCUAGGAUUUAAUCUAGGAUUUAAUUUAGAAUCUAGGAUUUGAUUUAAGAUUUGAUUUAGGAUUUAUGAUUUAUUUAAGAUUUGAUUUAAGAUUUGAUUUAGGAUCUAAAGUUUGAUCUCAGGUUUGGUUUAGGAUUUAAGAUUUGUUUAGGGUUUGAUUUAAGAUUUGAUUUAGGAUUUAGAAUUUAUCUAAGAUUUGAUUUAACCUUUGGUUUAAGAUCUACUGUUUGAUUUAAGAUUUGAUUUAGGGUCUAAGGUUUGAUUUAAGAUUUGAUUGAAAUUCAUUAGGUAUUCAAUUAGAAGUAAAUUUAAACUUAGUUGAGAUUUACUUAAGAUAUAUUUGUGAUUAUUUUAAUAUUUUUUAAGACUUCUUAAGAAUUAUUUUAAUAUUUAUUAUGGA
RNAcentral lists this long non-coding RNA (839 nucleotides) under Physcomitrium patens. RNAcentral's name for it is "long non-coding RNA (PPAT_LNC011592)". The record is from RNAcentral. Lineage: Eukaryota; Viridiplantae; Streptophyta; Bryopsida; Funariales; Funariaceae.